UUAUUAAUAAUUUAUUUUAUUAAAGUUUUAUUAUAAAGUUUUAAAAAAAUUGUAUUAAAUAAAGAUUUUUUAAUUAAUUUUUGUACUGAAAAGGAAAAAUUGAAAUAUAUGAAAUAUAUAAAUAUUAAAUAGUUUUAUUAAGUACCUUUUGCAUUAGGGUUUUUUAAAAAAAUUAAUAAAUCUAUUAAUUUCCCGAAAUAAAUAUGAUCUAUUAAUAAAAAUAUUUUUAUGUUGAAUUAUGAAAAUAAAUUUAUAAAUAGAUAUGAAAUUUUUUUCAUAUUUUAUGAUAUCUGGUUUUAAAAAAGAGAUUAUACAUCUGAUUAUUAAUAUUUUUUUCAUUUAAAAAUUAAUUAUUAAUUUUUAUAGGGAUAAGCUUAUAAAAUUUUUUUAAAAGAAUUUGGAAGAAAAUAAAAAAGGAUUAAAAUUGUCUUUUUUUUUUAAUAAGAAAUUUUUUUAUUAAUUUAAAUAUGUUAAAAUAUUUUAAUGAUUAAUUAAAUUAAAAAUUGAUAAAAAUAUAAGAAAAUUAGUAAAAUAUAUAAUUUAUUUAAUAUUUAAAUAAAGUAUAAAUAAAUUUUAAUUAAAAUUUAGGAAUUCGGCAAAUUUUAUUUUUGACUGUUUAACAAAAACAUUUCAUUUUGAUGGUAAUAAAAUGUACAAUCUGCUCAAUGAAAUUUAAAUUGCUGUGGUAUUUUGACUAUACGAAGGUAUUGAAAUAAGGCUUUAAAUGAGUGCUAAGAGAAUGGUUAUACAAUUAUAAGCUUUCUUUUUUUUAAAAAUUUGAAUUUAAUAUUUUUGUGAAGAAGCAAUAAUGAAAAUUAGGGACAAGAAGACCCUAUGAAUUUUAAUUAAGUUAGUUUUAAAUAAAAGAAAUAAUUUAAUUUAAUUGGGGCGAUGGAAAAAGAAUUAGUAUCUUUUUAGAAAAAAAUUUGUUCCGAUAUUAUCGAUUUUAUGAAAAAAAUACUCUAGGGAUAACAGCGUAAUAAUUUUGGAUAGUUCUUAUAGAUAAAAUAGUUUGCGACCUCGAUGUUGGAUUAGGAUUCUUUUUUGGUGAAGAAAUUAAUGAAAGAAGUUUGUUCAACUUUUAAAAUCCUACAUGAUCUGAGUUCAGACCGGCGAGAGCCAGGUUGGUUUCUAUCUUAAUAGAUAAUAUUAAUUUUUUUAGUACGAAAGGAAUAAAAAAUUUUAAUAAUUAGUUUUAUAAAAAAAAAAUUAA
This 1213-nucleotide ribosomal RNA is filed under the name Ixodes acutitarsus. RNAcentral describes it as "16S rRNA". The stretch from base 968 to 1126 matches the Rfam family "Archaeal large subunit ribosomal RNA", at positions 2544 to 2703 of the family's 2987-position model. The record is from RNAcentral. Lineage: Eukaryota; Metazoa; Arthropoda; Arachnida; Ixodida; Ixodidae.